AGUGAACGCUGGCGGUAGGCCUAACACAUGCAAGUCGAACGGCAGCACAGUAAGAGCUUGCUCUUACGGGUGGCGAGUGGCGGACGGGUGAGGAAUACAUCGGAAUCUACUUUUUCGUGGGGGAUAACGUAGGGAAACUUACGCUAAUACCGCAUACGACCUACGGGUGAAAGCAGGGGAUCUUCGGACCUUGCGCGAUUGAAUGAGCCGAUGUCGGAUUAGCUAGUUGGCGGGGUAAAGGCCCACCAAGGCGACGAUCCGUAGCUGGUCUGAGAGGAUGAUCAGCCACACUGGAAGUUAGACACGGUCCAGACUCCUACGGGAGGCAGCAGUGGGGAAUAUUGGACAAUGGGCGCAAGCCUGAUCCAGCCAUACCGCGUGGGUGAAGAAGGCCUUCGGGUUGUAAAGCCCUUUUGUUGGGAAAGAAAAGCAGCAGGUUAAUACCCCGCUGUUCUGACGGUACCCAAAGAAUAAGCACCGGCUAACUUCGUG
This 492-nucleotide ribosomal RNA is filed under the name uncultured bacterium. RNAcentral describes it as "partial 16S ribosomal RNA". It matches the Rfam family "Bacterial small subunit ribosomal RNA", at positions 29 to 507 of the family's 1533-position model. The record is from RNAcentral.